ACGCUCGACACCUACGGGAGGCAGCAGUGAGGAAUAUUGGUCAAUGGACGCAAGUCUGAACCAGCCAUGCCGCGUGCAGGAUGACGGCUCUAUGAGUUGUAAACUGCUUUUGUACGAGGGUAAACGCAGAUACGUGUAUCUGUCUGAAAGUAUCGUACGAAUAAGGAUCGGCUAACUCCGUACCAGCAGCCGCGGUAAUCUGAGCGGGCUGGCAAGGC
This 218-nucleotide ribosomal RNA is filed under the name uncultured bacterium. RNAcentral's name for it is "partial 16S ribosomal RNA". It matches the Rfam family "Bacterial small subunit ribosomal RNA", at positions 328 to 539 of the family's 1533-position model. The record is from RNAcentral.